This is a non-coding RNA of Podarcis lilfordi (Lilford's wall lizard), 74 nucleotides long. The record is from the annotation of a GenBank genome assembly. Lineage: Eukaryota; Metazoa; Chordata; Lepidosauria; Squamata; Lacertidae.
AUCUGGGAUAGCUCAGUCAGUAGAGCACGAGCCUCUUAAUCUCGGGGUCGCAGGUUCAAACCCCAUGCUGGGCA